UCAAGUAAUUAAGUGCAUGUGGUGGAUGCCUUGGCAGUCAGAGGCGAUGAAAGACGUGAUAGCCUGCGAAAAGCUCCGGGGAGGCGGCAAAUAUCCUUUGAUCCGGAGAUGUCUGAAUGGGGGAACCCACCUACUUUAAGGUAGGUAUUGCAACAUGAAUACAUAGUGUUGCAAGGCGAACGAGGGGAAGUGAAACAUCUCAGUACCCUUAGGAAAAGAAAUCAAUUGAGAUUCCCUCAGUAGCGGCGAGCGAACGGGGAUCAGCCCAUUAAGUUAUGUGUGUUUUAGUGGAACGCUCUGGGAAGUGCGAACGUAGAGGGUGAUAUUCCCGUACACGAAAGGGCACACAUAAUGAUGACGAGUAGGGCGAGGCACGUGAUACCUUGUCUGAAUAUGGGGGGGCCAUCCUCCAAGGCUAAAUACUCCUGACUGACCGAUAGUGAACCAGUACCGUGAGGGAAAGGCGAAAAGAACCCCUGUGAGGGGAGUGAAAUAGAUCCUGAAACCGCAUGCAUACAAGCAGUGGGAGCACCUUAGUGGUGUGACUGCGUACCUUUUGUAUAAUGGGUCAGCGACUUAUAUUCAGUAGCGAGGUUAACCGUAUAGGGGAGCCGUAGAGAAAUCGAGUCUUAAUAGGGCGUUUAGUUGCUGGGUAUAGACCCGAAACCAGGCGAUCUAUCCAUGAGCAGGUUGAAGGUUGGGUAACACUAACUGGAGGACCGAACCCACUGUCGUUGAAAAGCCAGGGGAUGACUUGUGGAUAGGGGUGAAAGGCUAAUCAAGCCUGGUGAUAGCUGGUUCUCCCCGAAAGCUAUUUAGGUAGCGCCUCGGACGAAUACCAUAGGGGGUAGAGCACUGUUUCGGCUAGGGGGUCAUCCCGACUUACCAAACCGAUGCAAACUCCGAAUACCUAUGAGUACUAUCCGGGAGACAGACUGCGGGUGCUAACGUCCGUAGUCAAGAGGAAAACAAUCCAGACCGCCAGCUAAGGCCCCAAAAUCAUAGUUAAGUGGGAAACGAUGUGGGAAGGCAUAGACAGCUAGGAGGUUGGCUUAGAAGCAGCCACCCUUUAAAGAAAGCGUAAUAGCUCACUAGUCGAGUCGGCCUGCGCGGAAGAUGUAACGGGGCUAUAAAACUAUGUGCCGAAGCUGCGGAUGUAUACUUUGUAUACGUGGUAGGGGAGCGUUCUGUAAGCCGAUGAAGGUGUGUUGAGAAGCAUGCUGGAGGUAUCAGAAGUGCGAAUGCUGACGUGAGUAACGACAAAACGGGUGAAAAACCCGUUCGCCGAAAGACCAAGGGUUCCAGUCCAACGUUAAUCGGGGCUGGGUGAGUCGACCCCUAAGGCGAGGCCGAAAGGCGUAGUCGAUGGGAAAAUGGUUAAUAUUCCAUUACUUCUGUGUAAUGCGAUGAGAGGACGGAGAAGGCUAAAUCAGCCUGGCGUUGGUUGUCCAGGUGAAAGGAUGUAGGCAUGUAUCUUAGGCAAAUCCGGGGUACUCUAUGCUGAGAUCUGAUAGCAAGCUGUACUUGUACAGCGAAGUGGUUGAUGCCAUGCUUCCAGGAAAAGUCUCUAAGCUUCAGUUACACAGGAAUCGUACCCGAAACCGACACAGGUGGUCAGGUCGAGUAGACCAAGGCGCUUGAGAGAACUCUGCUGAAGGAACUAGGCAAAAUGGUACCGUAACUUCGGGAGAAGGUACGCUGUUGUUGGUGAUGGAACUCGAUUCCUGAGCUGACGACAGCCGCAGAAACCAGGCCGCUGCAACUGUUUAUUAAAAACAUAGCACUCUGCAAACACGAAAGUGGACGUAUAGGGUGUGAUGCCUGCCCGGUGCUGGAAGGUUAAUUGAUGGGGUUAGCGUAAGCGAAGCUCUUGAUCGAAGCCCCAGUAAACGGCGGCCGUAACUAUAACGGUCCUAAGGUAGCGAAAUUCCUUGUCUGGUAAGUUCCGACCUGCACGAAUGGCAUAAUGAUGGAGGCGCUGUCUCCAGCAGAGGCUCAGUGAAAUCGAAAUCGCUGUGAAGAUGCAGUGUACCCGCGGCUAGACGGAAAGACCCCGUGAACCUUUACUGCAGCUUGACACUGAACUUUGACCUUACUUGUGUAGAAUAGUUGGGAGGCUUUGAAGCUGGAACGCUAGUUCCAGUGGAGCCGUCCUUGAAAUACCACCCUGGUAAUGUUGAGGUUCUAACUCUGUCCCGUGAUCCGGGACGAGGACCGUGUCUGGUGGGUAGGUUUGACUUGGGGCGGUCUCCUCCUAAAGAGUAACGGAGGAGUACGAAGGUGCGCUCAGCGUGGUCGGAAAUCACGCGUAGAGUAUAAAGGCAAAAGCGCGCUUAACUGCGAGACCCACAAGUCGAGCAGGUACGAAAGUAGGUCUUAGUGAUCCGGUGGUUCUGUAUGGAAGGGCCAUCGCUCAACGGAUAAAAGGUACUCUGGGGAUAACAGGCUGAUACCGCCCAAGAGUUCAUUUCGACGGCGGUGUUUGGCACCUCGAUGUCGGCUCAUCUCAUCCUGGGGCUGAAGCAGGUCCCAAGGGUAUGGCUGUUCGCCAUUUAAAGAGGUACGCGAGCUGGGUUUAGAACGUCGUGAGACAGUUCGGUCCCUAUCUACCGUGGGCGCUGGAAAUUUGAGAGGAUCUGCUCCUAGUACGAGAGGACCAGAGUGGACGAACCUCUGGUGUACCGGUUGUGACGCCAGUCGCAUCGCCGGGUAGCUAUGUUCGGAAGGGAUAACCGCUGAAAGCAUCUAAGCGGGAAGCCUACCUCAAGAUAAGAUUUCCCUAGGACUUUAUGUCCUCUAAAGAGCCGUUCGAGACUAGGACGUUGAUAGGUUGGAUGUGGAAGAAUAGUGAUAUGUGAAGCUGACCAAUACUAAUUGCUCGUGAGGCUUGACUAU
Molecule: ribosomal RNA, 2895 nt
Filed under: Acinetobacter baumannii
Lineage: Bacteria; Pseudomonadati; Pseudomonadota; Gammaproteobacteria; Moraxellales; Moraxellaceae
Description: bacterial LSU rRNA
Rfam family: Bacterial large subunit ribosomal RNA
Source: RNAcentral